RNAcentral lists this ribosomal RNA (480 nucleotides) under Kocuria sp. EBKC1. RNAcentral describes it as "bacterial SSU rRNA". It matches the Rfam family "Bacterial small subunit ribosomal RNA", at positions 380 to 869 of the family's 1533-position model. The record is from RNAcentral. Lineage: Bacteria; Bacillati; Actinomycetota; Actinomycetes; Micrococcales; Micrococcaceae.
AGCCUGAUGCAGCGACGCCGCGUGAGGGAUGACGGCCUUCGGGUUGUAAACCUCUUUCAGCAGGGAAGAAGCCACAAGUGACGGUACCUGCAGAAGAAGCGCCGGCUAACUACGUGCCAGCAGCCGCGGUAAUACGUAGGGCGCAAGCGUUGUCCGGAAUUAUUGGGCGUAAAGAGCUCGUAGGCGGUUUGUCGCGUCUGCUGUGAAAGCCCGGGGCUCAACCCCGGGUCUGCAGUGGGUACGGGCAGACUAGAGUGCAGUAGGGGAGACUGGAAUUCCUGGUGUAGCGGUGAAAUGCGCAGAUAUCAGGAGGAACACCGAUGGCGAAGGCAGGUCUCUGGGCUGUUACUGACGCUGAGGAGCGAAAGCAUGGGGAGCGAACAGGAUUAGAUACCCUGGUAGUCCAUGCCGUAAACGUUGGGCACUAGGUGUGGGGGACAUUCCACGUUCUCCGCGCCGUAGCUAACGCAUUAAGUGCCC